Molecule: ribosomal RNA, 388 nt
Filed under: uncultured bacterium
Lineage: Bacteria
Description: bacterial SSU rRNA
Rfam family: Bacterial small subunit ribosomal RNA
Source: RNAcentral
GACGAACGCUGGCGGGGUGCUUAACACAUGCAAGUCGAGCGGUAAGGCCCUUUCGGGGGUACACGAGCGGCGAACGGGUGAGUAACACGUGGGUGACCUGCCCUCAGCUCUGGGAUAAGCCUGGGAAACUGGGUCUAAUACCGGAUAUGACUCCAUGACGCAUGUUGUGGGGUGGAAAGCCUUGUGCGGCUGAGGAUGGGCCCGCGGCCUAUCAGCUUGUUGGUGGGGUGAUGGCCUACCAAGGCGACGACGGGUAGCCGGCCUGAGAGGGCGACCGGCCACACUGGGACUGAGACACGGCCCAGACUCCUACGGGAGGCAGCAGUGGGGAAUCUUGCGCAAUGGGCGAAAGCCUGACGCAGCGACGCCGCGUGAGGGAUGACGGCCU